Molecule: ribosomal RNA, 490 nt
Filed under: uncultured bacterium
Lineage: Bacteria
Description: partial 16S ribosomal RNA
Rfam family: Bacterial small subunit ribosomal RNA
Source: RNAcentral
AUUGAACGCUGGCGGCAGGCCUAACACAUGCAAGUCGAACGGUAACAGGAAGAAGCUUGCUUCUUUGCUGACGAGUGGCGGACGGGUGAGGAAUGUCUGGGAAACUGCCUGAUGGAGGGGGAUAACUACUGGAAACGGUAGCUAAUACCGCAUAACGUCGCAAGACCAAAAAGGGGGACCUUCGGGCCUCUUGCCAUCGGAUGUGCCCAGAUGGGAUUAGCUAGUAGGUGGGGUAACGGCUCACCUAGGCGACGAUCCCUGGCUGGUCUGAGAGGAUGACCGGCCACCCUGGAACUGAGACACGGUCCAGACUCCUACGGGAGGCAGCAGUGGGGAAUAUUGCACAAUGGGCGCAAGCCUGAUGCAGCCAUGCCGCGUGUAUGAAGAAGGCCUUCGGGUUGUAAAGUACUUUCAGCGGGGAGGAAGGGAGUAAAGUUAAUACCUUCGCUCAUUGACGUUACCCGCAGAAGAAGCACCGGCUAACUCCGUG